This 404-nucleotide ribosomal RNA is filed under the name Acidobacteriota bacterium. Its description in RNAcentral is "Acidobacteria bacterium partial 16S ribosomal RNA". It matches the Rfam family "Bacterial small subunit ribosomal RNA", at positions 355 to 776 of the family's 1533-position model. The record is from RNAcentral. RNAcentral also lists the same sequence under 2 other names. Lineage: Bacteria; Pseudomonadati; Acidobacteriota.
UGGGGAAUAUUGCACAAUGGGGGAAACCCUGAUGCAGCGACGCCGCGUGAGCGAAGAAGUAUUUCGGUAUGUAAAGCUCUAUCAGCAGGGAAGAUAAUGACGGUACCUGACUAAGAAGCCCCGGCUAACUACGUGCCAGCAGCCGCGGUAAUACGUAGGGGGCAAGCGUUAUCCGGAUUUACUGGGUGUAAAGGGAGCGUAGACGGCAAGGCAAGUCUGAUGUGAAAACCCAGGGCUUAACCCUGGGACUGCAUUGGAAACUGUCUGGCUCGAGUGCCGGAGAGGUAAGCGGAAUUCCUAGUGUAGCGGUGAAAUGCGUAGAUAUUAGGAAGAACACCAGUGGCGAAGGCGGCUUACUGGACGGUAACUGACGUUGAGGCUCGAAAGCGUGGGGAGCAAACAGG